RNA transcript from Oncorhynchus keta (chum salmon), 5530 nucleotides. RefSeq lists it as uncharacterized. The transcript is spliced from 3 exons. The record is from RefSeq and is a predicted model, not a curated record. NCBI's taxonomy places the organism in Eukaryota, Metazoa, Chordata, Actinopteri, Salmoniformes, Salmonidae.
GCAAAGCAAACAGUCACAAGUUAGCUAGGAUGAACAAUACCAGGAAGUGGAGUAGAACUCAACCUAAUCGUUUCACAUGUUCCACCUUUCCUACCACUAUUUCCUGUAGCAACACUGGUCUUCCUCUUAGUUGUCCCAGCACGUUUGAUGACCCACUUCCUCUGUAGUAAAUCAAAUUACUUUUCUGUUCUUUGUCCUCUCAUUCUCACACUUUUUACUGGUUCCCCUGUCCCCCUAGUCCCUGGCUGUGAAUGGAGUGUGUGUGUUUCUGUGUGGUUUCUGGGAGCCUGAGAGAGAAACAGUUGAGGUGUGGAAACUCUCCUCUCCCGAGAGGAAAAAAAUGUACGUGAAUAAGAGAGAAGACACUUGCAAGGUUUCCAUCCAAUUGGUGACAAAAUCCCGAUAAAAACAAUGUACAUUUUCCAAGCAGAAAAUGAAACAGGCUUAUUGCGGCUAAAAAUAUAUGCGGGAUGAUGUAGUGCACAUAAGAAUAACUUUUGCAGUUAAAUUCAUUCAAAAAGUGAUGGAGUUCAACAAUGCUGACAGCUGGUUCCUACUACCAAGUGCAUGUGAGGUCAACAAUGCUGAUGGUUGGUUCCUACUACCAAGCGCAUGUGAGGUCAACAAUGCUGAUGGCUGGUUCCUACUACCAAGCGCAUGUGAGGUCAACAAUGCUGAUGGCUGGUUCCUACUUCCAAGCGCAUGUGAGGUCAACAAUGCUGAUGGCUGGUUCCUACUUCCAAGCGCAUGUGAGGUCAACAAUGCUGAUGGCUGGUUCCUACUUCCAAGCGCAUGUGAGGUCAACAAUGCUGACAGCUGGUUCCUACUUCCAAGCGCAUGUGAGGUCAACAAUGCUGAUGGCUGGUUCCUACUACCAAGUGUAUGUGAGGUCAACAAUGCUGAUGGCUGGUUCCUACUUCCAAGCGCAUGUGAGGUCAACAAUGCUGAUGGCUGGUUCCUACUUCCAAGCGCAUGUGAGGUCAACAAUGCUGAUGGCUGGUUCCUACUUCCAAGCGCAUGUGAGGUCAACAAUGCUGAUGGCUGGUUCCUACUUCCAAGCGCAUGUGAGGUCAACAAUGCUGAUGGCUGGUUCCUACUUCCAAGCGCAUGUGAGGUCAACAAUGCUGACAGCUGGUUCCUACUUCCAAGCGCAUGUGAGGUCAACAAUGCUGAUGGCUGGUUCCUACUACCAAGUGUAUGUGAGGUCAACAAUGCUGACAGCUGGUUCCUACUACCAAGCGCAUGAGAGGUCAACAAUGCUGACAGCUGGUUCCUACUACCAAGUGCAUGUGAGGUCAACAAUGCUGACAGCUGGUUCCUACUACCAAGCGCAUGAGAGGUCAACAAUGCUGACAGCUGGUUCCUACUACCAAGCGCAUGCGAGGUCAACAAUGCUGAUGGCUGGUCAACAAUGCUGACAGCUGGUUCCUACUACCAAGCGCAUGUGAGGUCAACAAUGCUGACAGCUGGUUCCUACUACCAAGCGCAUGUGAGGUCAACAAUGCUGAUGGCUGGUUCCUACUACCAAGCGCAUGUGAGGUCAACAAUGCUGAUGGCUGGUUCCUACUACCAAGCGCAUGUGAGGUCAACAAUGCUGAUGGCUGGUUCCUACUACCAAGCGCAUGUGAGGUCAACAAUGCUGAUGGCUGGUUCCUACUACCAAGCGCAUGUGAGGUCAACAAUGCUGAUGGCUGGUUCCUACUACCAAGCGCAUGUGAGGUCAACAAUGCUGAUGGCUGGUUCCUACUUCCAAGCGCAUGUGAGGUCAACAAUGCUGACAGCUGGUUCCUACUACCAAGCGCAUGAGAGGUCAACAAUGCUGACAGCUGGUUCCUACUACCAAGUGCAUGUGAGGUCAACAAUGCUGACAGCUGGUUCCUACUACCAAGCGCAUGAGAGGUCAACAAUGCUGAUGGCUGGUUCCUACUACCAAGCGCAUGCGAGGUCAACAAUGCUGAUGGCUGGUUCCUACUUCCAAGCGCAUGUGAGGUCAACAAUGCUGAUGGCUGGUUCCUACUACCAAGUGCAUGUGAGGUCAACAAUGCUGAUGGCUGGUUCCUACUACCAAGCGCAUGUGAGGUCAACAAUGCUGAUGGCUGGUUCCUACUACCAAGCGCAUGUGAGGUCAACAAUGCUGAUGGCUGGUUCCUACUACCAAGCGCAUGUGAGGUCAACAAUGCUGAUGGCUGGUUCCUACUACCAAGCGCAUGCGAGGUCAACAAUGCUAAUGGCUGGUCAACAAUGCUGACAGCUGGUUCCUACUACCAAGCGCAUGUGAGGUCAACAAUGCUGAUGGCUGGUUCCUACUACCAAGCGCAUGCGAGGUCAACAAUGCUAAUGGCUGGUCAACAAUGCUGACAGCUGGUUCCUACUACCAAGUGCAUGUGAGGUCAACAAUGCUGAUGGCUGGUUCCUACUACCAAGCGCAUGCGAGGUCAACAAUGCUAAUGGCUGGUCAACAAUGCUGACAGCUGGUUCCUACUACCAAGCGCAUGUGAGGUCAACAAUGUUGAUGGCUGGUUCCUACUACCAAGCGCAUGAGAGGUCAACAAUGCUGAUGGCUGGUUCCUACUACCAAGCGCAUGCGAGGUCAACAAUGCUAAUGGCUGGUCAACAAUGCUGACAGCUGGUUCCUACUACCAAGCGCAUGUGAGGUCAACAAUGCUGACAGCUGGUUCCUACUACCAAGCGCAUGUGAGGUCAACAAUGCUGAUGGCUGGUUCCUACUACCAAGCGCAUGUGAGGUCAACAAUGCUGAUGGCUGGUUCCUACUACCAAGCGCAUGUGAGGUCAACAAUGCUGAUGGCUGGUUCCUACUACCAAGCGCAUGUGAGGUCAACAAUGCUGAUGGCUGGUUCCUACUACCAAGCGCAUGUGAGGUCAACAAUGCUGAUGGCUGGUUCCUACUACCAAGCGCAUGUGAGGACAACACACACACACGUUCUGCAAAGAAAUACAUGACCUUUUCUGCACUGCCUGAGAGAAAGAAACCAGCUUAUCUAGAGCUCCACUGUCUCCUUUCAUUCAAAUUCAUAUCUCAAAAUUCGAAUUCAAUCUCCUGUGAGACGGAUCUGAGGUUUCUCUCUACCAGUCUCGCUCUCCCUAUUGCUGUCUCUUUCCGUCUCAUUUGGUGUGUCUCUCUCUCCGUAUCGCUCCCUUUCUGCCUCAGAUUUUGGAACCUCUGGCUGUGCGGUUGACUGACCUCUACAGUGAUGUGAAUCCACAGCAACACGUUGAUUCAGUAAAUAGACCCUGAUAACACACGUGGCUCUCCUUCCAUCCUGUCUCCAGACUAUAUUUUUUGCAGCGAAACAAAAACAAACAAUCUAACCCUCCAAACCUCUCAAAGGGUUCUCUGAAAGUUCCCCUAUUCAGACUAAUUCUCGCCAUGGUUAUUAUGGAAGGUACUGAAGACUUUUAUUGUUCUAGCCUCAAUCAAACUGAGCCAGGAAGAGAGCAACAAGUGUGUCUGUGUGAGUGUGUGUGUAGAUGGAUUGCUAUGCGUCAACCACUUCAACGUCCAGGAGAUGGAUGAGACGAAAGAGUGUUACCGUGACAACAGGCUGUGGAGAUGAACAAGGGUUCUAUGAAAGGGUGAAUGCACUCAGGGCAGGUGUGUGGGUGGUGAUGAAGGAUGGAGGUAUUAGAAGACCACCCUCACCUCUGAGACACACACACACACACACACACACAGCUAAUUAACAUUAUCCCAAUAAUGGUCACCUACAUUAAGGAUGUAACUGUGGAGGUGUGAUUGCGUGAACCCAUUAAGCAGUCUAAUGCCACACAGACACACACAACAGAGCCCUCAAACUCAGUUCCACUGCUUUGUUUCCCCAUUGUUCCCCUCUAAUCAGGGACUGAUUUAGACCUGGGACACCGGGUGGGUGCAAUUAAUGUUCAGGUAGAACAGAGAACCAGCAGGUUCCGGACCUCGUAGGGUAAGAGUUGAAUACCCUGGACCAGAGGAUUGCAGGAUUUUAGGGUGCUACAACCCAAUCGGCUUGUCCACUAGAUCUAACAGGCAGUAUUGAUGGGUUGGGGGAUAGAUACAUGUACACAUAUUUUGAGAAGCUUGUUCUUCUCCUUUUUAAUUAGGAAGCCAAUUUGUUUUCAGCACUUUUAUUUCCAUGACUGAUCAAAACGUUCUCAUGGCUUCUCUUGUUCCUCUGCAGCAGACAUAUGGUGAGAAAUAUGUUUGGAAUAUUGAAUCGCAAUAAAUAUAAAAUCAUGAGAAUUGCAAUACAUAUAGAAUCGGCACCAAAGUAUCGUGAGGUCCCUGGCAAUUCCCAGCUUUAACACACAGUGAAUGAAAGUGCAAGAUGUAUUCCUCAUUUUACUGGAGGGCCACACAAUGCUUUGGACCUGAAAACCAUUCAGCCCAUCUCACACUAAACCCACCUCUCCUCAGAGUCUGGAACUGCCUAGAAGGAAUGGACAAUGCCGUCAAAACACGUGUUUCUACAUUUUGUCUUUGCUUUAACCCUUUACACUCAUGGGAAUUGGCCUAUAUGGAUAAGGUCAAAUUGAAAUGUUUCUUACAGAAGACCUAUAAAAAGAACAUGACAAUGCGAGAAAAACAUUGGAGAUUAUGGGGAAAUGAUCAGACCAAAAGGUGAGGACACAACAGUUCACCUGACAAGACUGAAUCCAAACAUUAACAAUGUUGAUUUGAUGUGCAUUUUACAUUUACUGUACUUUUCACAGUAUUUGUCAAUAAUAAAAUCUGAAAAUAUUCUGGAUACAUUCAGUCAUAAUAGGCUUAGGGUUUGAGUGAGGUCUAACUGGCGUCUCCAAGUGUCCACACACCUCUCCAAACUGUGCACAGUUCAGUCAUUUCAAUGCACCUUUAUGACUCAAGGAAAGAGCUUUAAAUGUGCCUUUUUGAGCUCUCCUAGCUUUGCAAAUUGAGGAAAUGAAGCAAGCGCACUUGUAGUUGUUUUGUUUGGAACACAACCCCGUGUUCACACAAUCAGACUUGUAGUUGUUUUGAACACAACCCCGUGUUCACACAAUCACAUUUGUAGUUGUUUUGUUUGGAACACAACCCCGUGUUCACACAAUCACACUUGUAGUUGUUUUGUUUGGGACACAACCCCGUGUCCACACAAUCACACUUGUAGUUGUUUUGUUUGGGACACAACCCCGUGUCCACACAAUCACAGUUGUCGUUGUUUUGUUUGGAACACAACCCCGUGUCCACACAAUCACAGUUGUUGUUGUUUGGAACACAACCCCGUGUCCACACAAUCACAGUUGUUGUUGUUUGGAACACAACCCCGUGUCCACACAAUCACAGUUGUUGUUGUUUGGAACACAACCCCGUGUCUACACAAUCACAGUUGUUGUUGUUUUGUCUGGAACACAACCCUGUGUCCACACAAUCAGUUGUUGUUGUUUGGAACACAACCCCGUGUUCACACAAUCACAGUUGUAGUUGUUUUGUUUGGAACACAACCCCGUGUUCACACAAUCACAGUUGUUGUUGUUGUUUGGAACACAACCCCGUGUCCACACAAUCACAGUUGUU